Molecule: unclassified non-coding RNA, 582 nt
Filed under: Wurdastom cuatrecasasii
Lineage: Eukaryota; Viridiplantae; Streptophyta; Magnoliopsida; Myrtales; Melastomataceae
Description: partial external transcribed spacer
Source: RNAcentral
CGCAGGCUUGUACGGGUUGCACUUCGAGCUCCGGCGUCUUCCUCCUCGGGAGGUGACGCGGGAACGUUCGGGGAGUCUCGUCUUGCGAUGGGAUGACGCAUGAGUGGUGAUUAGGAUACGUUUCCCGCGCAGGCUCCAUGUCUCUCGCAUCGAACUGCUUGGGUGUAUCGAUUUCAUUAGUGGGUUCGCCUCGGCACUUUCAGGGUCGGUUGCGACUGCUCGUUGGGUUCCUGUGCUUGAUAUCGAAUUCGAUAGUUGGAUGGAUUGCUGUUCCCCGUCGCGAUUUAUUGAUUCUCCUCCGCCUCUUGCGGCGAUGGUGGAUAGUGGGCGCUUCGUCGUUUCCCUUUCGAGCGGUAGUUGCCCUUUGGGCGCUUCCGCUCGCGAUGGCACGUAGAUGCUGCCCGGCUCUCUCGGGUACGGAGACUUUCUGGUUACCGCAUAGGUCUCCCAUCUCUGCGAGCGUUUUGUAUCGAAGCAUCCUUGCUUCUGCGGCACGUAUGACCCUCGUUCUCGUCUUAGAGCUCACGGAGCCUCUAUGUUCGGUGUUCUUCUUGGGGAGUCACGAGGUCUACGACGGAAUGC